GCUGCCACCACCUGUGUUUCAGGUACACAGGAAACCUCAAUAGACUAGAAUUACUAGUCUAAAACAAAACGGAGAAUGGUUUAAACGCGGGUGUACUUUAUAUUCGGAAGUUAUUAUCUAAGGUGGAAGAGUUCAAUUAGGUUGAAGGGAUUAAAACACCUCACUAUCUUUAACCUCAAGAAUUAAACGUAUAAAUAUUUAAAUCGGGGGAGGAGAUAAAAAUUGUAAGGGGG
This 233-nucleotide long non-coding RNA is filed under the name Mytilus galloprovincialis (Mediterranean mussel). Lineage: Eukaryota; Metazoa; Mollusca; Bivalvia; Mytilida; Mytilidae. The record is from RNAcentral.